Long non-coding RNA from Gavialis gangeticus (Gharial), 1311 nucleotides. RefSeq lists it as uncharacterized. The record is from RefSeq and is a predicted model, not a curated record. Lineage: Eukaryota; Metazoa; Chordata; Crocodylia; Gavialidae. The transcript is spliced from 3 exons.
GGCAGUUUAGACUGACAUGCAUGAAAACUGGUGUUACUUCUGCCCAUCAGGUGGUAUAUCUGAUGAUUCUUGUUGCAGAAACUGAACUGAGACAGACUGAUCCCAGGGUCUUUCUCUAGGGAGGUGGAAGAUGUAGAUCAAACUGGCAGGCGGAUGUGGGAUUUGGAUCUGGGUCUCCUGUAUCCCAGUGCACUGAUAUCCCAACAACAGGCAGAAGAGAAGACUAAGCCAAGAGGCAUCAUCAUGGAAAUCAAACAAGACGGUGUGGAAUAGCCCAUGUGCUAUACUGGUGAUAUGUGAGGAACCAACUGGGAAAAGGAAAAGAGGAAAGUGGAUGCGACAUGGAAGAGGGCAGUAGAGACAUGGAAGUGGAUGGCAGAGAGCAUGAAAAACGAAGGAAUUUGGAAUGGGUCAAUGUCAGAAAGAAAAGCAGCUGACAGAGGGUGGGAGACACUUCCUUUUAGGCUCCAUAUAGUAUAAAGGAUACUAAGUAAGCCAACAAGCACUUAGUAUUGUUCAGCAGGUAUUGCAAACAGAAUAUAUUUAAAGCAAAAAUUAUACUCUGUUUUGGUGUGUGCAAAGUUGAUGUGGCCUUUUCCAUACUGUCCAUACUGGUGGUAUUUCUGUGCCAUUGCUACAUCAGCCAGGGGUCACCAUCUGAGAAAACAGCAGAGCUGAAGCUGUCCUCAGCUAGCCCACUGUCUUUUGGAAGAGGAACAUUUUCUGCCUCUUGGGAACUUACCUCAUAGUAACAUCCUUCAACACGAGGACAGCUUUCUCUUGGGAAUCUCCCUUCUCUGAUUCUUCCACCCAUGCUUUCAGUGUGCAAGGGUGUAGAUGCCCAGUUCUAGGGAACAUGGUUCCAGAGUAAGAGGGAAUAAGGUGGAAAAUAUCAUAUAUCAUCUCUAAGCCUUUCCCAGAAUGGCAAGAGUAGAGGGGAAAGAAAUUCCAAAAUUAAGGGGGAAAAAGGAGCAGCUGCUCAUUUUUGGCAUGACCAAUUCAGGGCAGUACCUGUUGUAGUGUUUCUCUUCUGUUAGCACCUGAAGGCUUCUUCCUUCCCUCUCAUAGAUGUUGCCUCAAGCACAGCAAACUGCUAUCACAUAUGGCAGAUCUCUCUCAGACACAUCUGCAACCAUGACACCUUUCCACCUUCCCUUCAGUCUUCUAAGUACACAUCCAAUGUCAUUCUGUAGCUACUUAGCCUAUAUGAAAACAGGUGUCAAAGAUUUCUUACACCACAGAAGCAGAGAGAGCUGUCUCCCAGAAUGCCAAAAGGAAUCACACUCAGGGCAAAAAUACAGAGGUGGUGGC